Long non-coding RNA from Fukomys damarensis (Damara mole-rat), 240 nucleotides. RefSeq lists it as uncharacterized. Lineage: Eukaryota; Metazoa; Chordata; Mammalia; Rodentia; Bathyergidae. The record is from RefSeq and is a predicted model, not a curated record. The transcript has 3 exons.
UAGUUUAUUUUAACUGUGAACCCCAUCUUCCUGUGAUCCCAGCAUAGGAUAUCCUGAAGGCCAUUGGAAUGAGCAACCUCUACCUCUGACCUACAGCUUUUCAAACAUUUUCAUUUUGAGACAGAAUCUCAUGAGUUUACCCAGACUGACCUCAAACGUGUGAUUUACCAGCUUCAGUUUCUUCGGAUGAACUUUCUUCCUAAUGGAAGAUACCCAGCAGAUGGAUAUCUGGAUCAAAUG